AGGUUACUGCUAUCGAGGUUCGACUAAGCCAUGCGAGUCGAAUGUAGCAAUACAUGGCGUACUGCUCAGUAACACGUGGACAACCUACCCUGAGGUCGGGGAUAAACCCGGGAAACUGGGUAUAAUACCCGAUAGAUCUAGAUUGCUGGAAUGCUUUUAGGUCUAAAGUUCCGACGCCUCAGGAUGGGUCUGCGGCCUAUCAGGGUAGUAGUGGGUGUAAAGUACCUACUAGCCUACGACGGGUACGGGUUGUGAGAGCAAGAGCCCGGAGAUGGAUUCUGAGACACGAAUCCAGGCCCUACGGGGUGCAGCAGGCGCGAAACCUUUACAAUGCUGGCAACAGCGAUAAGGGGACCUCGAGUGCUACGAUACAAUCGUGGCUGUCUAGUUGCCUAAAAAGCAAUUGAUAGCAAGGGCCGGGCAAGACCGGUGCCAGCCGCCGCGGUAACACCGGCGGCUCGAGUGGUAACCGCUAUUAUUGGGUCUAAAGGGUCUGUAGCCGGCUUAGUUAGUCUCUUGAGAAAUCUGGCCGCUCAACGGUCAGGCGUUCAGGGGAUACUGCUAAAGCUCGAGACCGGGAGAGGUGAGAGGUACUUCAGGGGUAGGGGUGAAAUCUUGUAAUCCUUGAAGGACCACCAGUGGCGAAGGCGUCUCACCAGAACGGAUCUGACGGCAAGGGACGAAAGCUAGGGGCACGAACCGGAUUAGAUACCCGGGUAGUCCUAGCCGUAAACGAUACUCGCUAGGUGUCGGCCACGGUGCGACCGUUGUUGGUGCCGUAGGGAAGCCGUGAAGCGAGCCACCUGGGAAGUACGGCCGCAAGGCUGAAACUUAA
RNAcentral lists this ribosomal RNA (835 nucleotides) under uncultured archaeon. RNAcentral's name for it is "bacterial SSU rRNA". It matches the Rfam family "Archaeal small subunit ribosomal RNA", at positions 21 to 859 of the family's 1478-position model. The record is from RNAcentral.